ACAUCUGCAGGAACAAAUAUAUCCGAGUUUGGAUGGUUCCGAUAAAAACUGCAAGUCACGUUAGGCGUCCAAAAUAAGUCAUACCUUUUGUAACAGUACAACACUGACACCUGCUGGCCGGUUUUAGUAUUGUGAUGUAUUUUUGACAGCAAAUGUAGAAAUGGCUUUGCAAUCACGGUAUGAGUGGAUUAGUGGGCAUAAAGUAAAUUUACAAGUGGACUAAAAAAUAUAUUUUAAAUUGACUGAAAGUAGAGUGCAUGCAGAGAAAAUAUGAGUUUUUAUGGUCAGUCUGAUUUGACUGCUUGCAGAUGGGGGCCCACCUGAGAAGAGGCGUCCUGCUCAGAGCUCCUGCGCUGAACCCAAACACAAAGGGCCCUCCUGGACCUCGGACCACGUUCGCCAUCUUUUGCCUGCAUGUGUAGCUCGUAGGGGAACAGCGUGGACCCCCUGUCGUCAUGCUGCAGCAGGCAGUAAUACAAACCCUGGUGGAGGUCGCUCAGAUUGUGGACCACCAGACUGCCGUCCUGGCGCAUGUGGAUCGGGUUCAGUUCUGUGUGGAGGCCUGGUGAGUGGAAGGGUCCGAAGGGGGUGUGCCAGUACACCACCACACCUGCUGGCCAAAGAAUAAUAAAAAGUUGAGUCAAAUUGAACUAAGUGCUGGUUGGUCACCUUUUGACCCAUAAUUGUGUUUGUUUGUUUUUGACCCAAGUUUGUGGAAUACAAACAUAGGUGUUGACUUGGUAGGUCACUAACCUGCCUUGCCGCCAUCACCGCACUUGAUAGUCACCACCGCCUGUGGGUGACCGUCUACCCUGAUGGUGGGUGCCACCAUCAGGACGUUGGGGCGUCCUGAUAUCCCGGGACAGGUCGACACAGCCAGGAAUGUUAUGACCAUGAAGCAGCGGGCCAACAUUCCAAAGCUGCAA
Syngnathus acus (greater pipefish) is the source of this 926-nucleotide long non-coding RNA. RefSeq lists it as uncharacterized. The transcript has 2 exons. NCBI's taxonomy places the organism in Eukaryota, Metazoa, Chordata, Actinopteri, Syngnathiformes, Syngnathidae. The record is from RefSeq and is a predicted model, not a curated record.